CCUGGACUAGAAUGUGAGGGAAUGUCGGGUAAUGCCGGCAGUCCGGGAAACCGGACCCAAAACAAGGUGCUGCAUGGCUGUCGUCAGCUCGUGUCGUGAGAUGUUGGGUUAAGUCCCGCAACGAGCGCAACCCUUAUCAACAGUUGCCAUCAUUAAGUUGGGAACUCUGUUGAGACUGCCGUUGAUAAAACGGAGGAAGGUGGGGAUGAUGUCAAGUCAUCAUGGCCUUUAUGUUCAGGGCUACACACGUGCUACAAUGGACGGUACAAAACGUC
RNAcentral lists this ribosomal RNA (275 nucleotides) under uncultured Blastocatellaceae bacterium. RNAcentral describes it as "partial 16S ribosomal RNA". It matches the Rfam family "Bacterial small subunit ribosomal RNA", at positions 974 to 1248 of the family's 1533-position model. The record is from RNAcentral. Lineage: Bacteria; Pseudomonadati; Acidobacteriota; Blastocatellia; Blastocatellales; Blastocatellaceae.